GAUGAACGCUGGCUACAGGCUUAACACAUGCAAGUCGAGGGGAAACGACGGGGAAGCUUGCUUCCCCGGGCGUUGACCGGCGCACGGGUGAGUAACGCGUAUCCAACCUGCCUCUGACUGAGGGAUAACCCGUCGAAAGUCGGCCUAAUACCUCAUGGCAUCGUCUGCGGGCAUCCAACGACGAUUAAAGAUUUCAUCGGUCAGAGAUGGGGAUGCGUCUGAUUAGCUUGUUGGCGGGGUAACGGCCCACCAAGGCGACGAUCAGUAGGGGUUCUGAGAGGAAGGUCCCCCACAUUGGAACUGAGACACGGUCCAAACUCCUACGGGAGGCAGCAGUGAGGAAUAUUGGUCAAUGGGCGAGAGCCUGAACCAGCCAAGUAGCGUGCAGGAUGACGGCCCUAUGGGUUGUAAACUGCUUUUAUGCGGGGAUAAAGUGAGGGACGUGUCCUUCAUUGCAGGUACCGCAUGAAUAAGGACCGGCUAAUUCCGUG
RNAcentral lists this ribosomal RNA (491 nucleotides) under uncultured bacterium. Its description in RNAcentral is "partial 16S ribosomal RNA". It matches the Rfam family "Bacterial small subunit ribosomal RNA", at positions 28 to 507 of the family's 1533-position model. The record is from RNAcentral.